UAAUUCCCCAAAGAAAUUAAGACAUGUGCUAU
Molecule: non-coding RNA, 32 nt
Filed under: Rattus norvegicus (Norway rat)
Lineage: Eukaryota; Metazoa; Chordata; Mammalia; Rodentia; Muridae
Source: RNAcentral